RNAcentral lists this ribosomal RNA (253 nucleotides) under uncultured bacterium. RNAcentral describes it as "partial 16S ribosomal RNA". It matches the Rfam family "Bacterial small subunit ribosomal RNA", at positions 524 to 776 of the family's 1533-position model. The record is from RNAcentral.
GACAGAGGGGGCAAGCGUUGCUCGGAAUCACUGGGCGUAAAGGGUGCGUAGGCGGCGCGGUAAGUCGGGUGUGAAAUCUCGGGGCUUAACUCCGAAACUGCAUUCGAUACUGCCGUGCUUGAGGACUGGAGAGGAGACUGGAAUUUACGGUGUAGCGGUGAAAUGCGUAGAUAUCGUAAGGAAGACCAGUGGCGAAGGCGGGUCUCUGGACAGUUCCUGACGCUGAGGCACGAAGGUCAGGGGAGCAAACGGG